GACGAACGCUGGCGGCGUGCUUAACACAUGCAAGUCGAACGAUGAAGCCGGAGCUUGCUCCGGUGGAUUAGUGGCGAACGGGUGAGUAACACGUGAGCAAUCUGCCCUUGACUCUGGGAUAACUGCGGGAAACUGUAGCUAAUACCGGAUACGACACCUUGGGGCAUCCCAGGGUGUGGAAAGAAUUUCGGUCAAGGAUGAGCUCGCGGCCUAUCAGCUAGUUGGUGAGGUAAUGGCUCACCAAGGCCACGACGGGUAGCCGGCCGGAGAGGGUGACCGGCCACACUGGAACUGAGACACGGUCCAGACUCCUACGGGAGGCAGCAGUGGGGAAUAUUGCACAAUGGGCGAAAGCCUGAUGCAGCAACGCCGCGUGAGGGAUGAAGGCCUUCGGGUUGUAAACCUCUUUUAGCAGGGAAGAAGCGAAAGUGACGGUACCUGCAGAAAAAGCACCGGCUAACUACGUGCCAGCAGCCGCCGUAA
Molecule: ribosomal RNA, 483 nt
Filed under: uncultured bacterium
Lineage: Bacteria
Description: partial 16S ribosomal RNA
Rfam family: Bacterial small subunit ribosomal RNA
Source: RNAcentral